CCGGUACUGCUGUCUUCCGCCCACCUUUCUCUUCGUCCUUGUCGAGAAUUCUCGGUUAUGUAGAUCUGUUUCUUGCUCCAGUUGAGCCUGCAUGGCUCUAGUUCGGGAGCCCCGGUGCCGAGCUCGGCUUUCUUCGGGAGCAGCCUGAAGAAAGUGAACUCCGGUCCGAGCCAUGGGAGGAACUCCACCGCCACUUUCAAGGUCUUGGCUGCUGAUCUCGAUGAGUCGAAGCAGACUUCCAAGGACAAAUGGUCAGGGCUUGCCUACGACGUCUCCGACGACCAGCAGGACAUCACCAGGGGAAAGGGCCUCGUCGACUCGCUCUUCCAAGCUCCCAUGGGCGACGGCACUCACAUCCCCGUCAUGACCUCCUACGAGUACAUCAGCCAGGGUCUUCGCCAGUAAGGAACCAUUCGAUAUCUUGAUCUAUCAUAGCUUUCAGCCUUCUUCCUCGUCGGUAUCCACUGAACCGUUUGGUCUCAGAUACAACCUCGACAACACCAAGGACGGCUUCUACAUAGCUCCGGCUUUCAUGGACAAGCUUGUCGUGCACAUCACCAAGAACUUCAUGGCCCUCCCGAACAUCAAGGUAAUCCCAUCCUACCUCAUCUCAUGCGGUCGCUGCCAUUGAUUUCUGGUUGAUGUGGAUUCUAACUGGGCGGUGACAGGUUCCCCUCAUCUUGGGUGUCUGGGGAGGCAAAGGCCAAGGGAAGUCAUUCCAAUGUGAGCUCGUGUUCGCCAAGAUGGGGAUCAAGUGAGUGCUUCCUUGAGUUCAUGACAUGUUGUUACGGCUCAGAGGUCUUUGGUGUCUCUCGUUCAUGCUCCGUGUCGAACACUUGGCAGCCCUAUCAUGAUGAGCGCCGGAGAACUGGAAAGCGGCAACGCAGGUGAGCCAGCGAAGCUGAUCAGGCAGCGGUACCGUGAGGCAGCAGACAUCAUCAAGAAGGGGAAGAUGUGUUGCCUCUUCAUCAACGACCUCGACGCAGGAGCGGGAAGGCUCGGCGGCACCACCCAAUACACCGUCAACAACCAGAUGGUGAACGCCACGCUGAUGAACAUCGCCGACAACCCGACCAACGUGCAGCUCCCGGGAAUGUACAACAAGCAGGAGAACCCUCGCGUUCCCAUCAUCGUCACCGGCAACGACUUCUCCACUCUCUACGCGCCUCUCAUUCGUGACGGCCGUAUGGAGAAGUUCUACUGGGCGCCGACCAGAGAUGACCGCAUCGGCGUCUGCACGGGCAUCUUCAGGACCGACAACGUCCCCACGGAGGACAUCGUCAAGCUCGUAGACUCCUUCCCGGGGCAGUCCAUCGGUAAGCUUCCCAAAAACACAAGAUUCACAUGAUCUGUCACCGACUCAUCCGAUCGCAUGUAUCUCCAUGGCCAACGUGCAGACUUCUUUGGUGCUCUUCGGGCCAGGGUCUACGAUGACGAAGUGAGGAAGUGGGUGGGAGACAUUGGAGUGGACAAGGUUGGAAAGAAGCUGGUCAACUCGCUCGAAGGGCCACCAACCUUUGAGCAGCCCAAGAUGAGCUUGGAUACGCUGAUGGAGUAUGGCAACAUGCUGGUGAAGGAACAGGAGAACGUGAAGAGGGUGCAGCUGGCCGACAAGUACCUGAGCGAGGCUGCGCUCGGAGACGCCAACGCAGAUGCCAUGAAGACUGGCUCUUUCUACCAGUAACUCCAUGAUGGUUGCAGGCAAAGCAGCCCAUCCGUCUCUUACGAUCCUCGAUGAACGCAGAGCUGCAUGCAUAAAUUCCAGGCUUGUAGUUUGUGUGGAUAAGUGGGCGAAUAUUAUUAUCAGCCUCUGUAUCGGUGAUACAUAUAUUAUGUGCAUUUUCCUCAGUUUUGGAAGGC
Molecule: long non-coding RNA, 1860 nt
Filed under: Musa acuminata (dwarf banana)
Lineage: Eukaryota; Viridiplantae; Streptophyta; Magnoliopsida; Zingiberales; Musaceae
Description: long non-coding RNA (MACU_LNC006813)
Source: RNAcentral